Molecule: long non-coding RNA, 299 nt
Organism: Octopus sinensis (East Asian common octopus)
Lineage: Eukaryota; Metazoa; Mollusca; Cephalopoda; Octopoda; Octopodidae
Exons: 5
Source: RefSeq, a predicted model, not a curated record
AAAAGACAUAGACGACAUCCAGAAACUUCACGAGAAAGUAUUGACUGUCUUGAAACUUGAAGUCGGCAAGAAUCACAAGGAGGAGGAGACAACUCUUGUGAAACUCCUUGGUCAUGUAGAGGAGCUGCGCAACCUAGGAGGAUGGCACAUCGAUGUGCUCAACAUGUUCAAACGAUCUGCUCCGGACAUAGAGUUCCCUGCCCUUCACAAAGAACUUUUCUCAGUAGAAGGCAUCGAAGGAUCAUGAACAGAACACAGCAAAUGAGAAAGGUGAGAGAGAGAUAGAGAGAGAGAGUGAU